AAUCAUCUUGACGACUUGGUCCAUUAUUCCUUGAUCCCAGCAUCCUGCUUCCAGCUGUAGCCACUAGGAGACAGAUGUCUCCAGAAAUGUCAGGAGUGUUGCAUGAAGAGGAAAGUCGUGCCUCUAAUUCUAGUAUUCAGAGGAAUGGGAAAUAAUUUUUCUGUGUCGCCUCUCACCACGUUAUACGUUUAUGGAUAUCUAGUGUACGUAUCCUCUGCAUUUUAAAAAUAGUGUGUUUUUUUUCUUCUGAACUAAAUUCUUUAGCAAACCCACUGAGACAAAGGUUUCCCACUUUCUCAUGACUUUGCACUACAAUAAUUGUGAGCAGGCCUACUCAGAAGUAAAUGCCAUGUGCUGCAAAGUGAUGCGCUCCUAGAAAGAAAAGAAAAAUAUUGUGGCACAGUAAUAACGGAUUGACUUCAUUGUGUGCUUUUUAGUGAAUCCUCUUCUUCAAACCCACAUUCAGGAAGCUCACACUGAAAUAAAUUGUUAGUCUUAAAGGUACCACAAUACGAUUCCUUUGUCCCACCUUUCUUUUGUUUUGAUUUUGCCAAAGCAGGCUAAAAGCUUUUCCUCUAAGAACUCCUAGUAACUGUGUAUAGGACUUCAACUUUGCCCUUUCGUGUGCUUUUUCCAGACCAAAAAACACUGAUAUCUAUGAAAUCAAGAGGAAGGAUUUUUAUGCCAGUGAACAUGCCACAGUUACCUGUACCUUCCACAUCCUUCAAGAAUUGUCUGUCAACAGGCAGAUUUGGUGCCAGGAGUUCGGGAGCAACGUUGGAGUUAUUUCACCAGGACUAACUCAACAAGCAAAAUUAUAAUGGCUGUCCUUCUGGAUGGGUGUAUAUGGCUUUUUUACAGAAACUGCUAGAAAGUGUGGUGCAGUGCUCGGAGUGUCAAACUAGAACUGGAGAGAGCCAGGUUCCAAUCUCUGCUCUUCCAUGAAUUUCCUUCAGUGCUAGCCUUGGGCCAAUCACUAUCUGUCACUUUAAGCAACCUUGUCAAAUUGCAAUAAGAAUGAGGAUGAAGAGGGCACUAUGUGUAGUAAGCAACACUGACUUAAUUGCACUAACAGGCAGCACCUGGGUCUUCAGGUGCACCAUAUAGUCAAACAUGUAUUCCAUCUGAAUUCCUGGUAGUGAAGUAGUAGAUCAUUUGUUCACCUGAGGCCACACAGAUCAGUAAAAUGCUAUUUUGGGGCCUAUAACUCCCAGAAUUCC
Molecule: long non-coding RNA, 1220 nt
Filed under: Pogona vitticeps (central bearded dragon)
Lineage: Eukaryota; Metazoa; Chordata; Lepidosauria; Squamata; Agamidae
Description: lncRNA (ENSPVIG00000011530.1)
Source: RNAcentral